Molecule: long non-coding RNA, 935 nt
Organism: Gasterosteus aculeatus aculeatus (three-spined stickleback)
Lineage: Eukaryota; Metazoa; Chordata; Actinopteri; Perciformes; Gasterosteidae
Source: Ensembl
UGUGUGUGUGUGGAGGGAGGGGAGGGGGAGAGACGGGGGGGGGGGGGCAUAUAUUUGAAAAUGAUGCUCGACGCAUCGGUGUUGACAAACCGAGUCAUGUGACCGCGGCGGAAGAUGGCGCAGCUUACGGCACGUUGCGGGUUCGACGGCUCGGACCGCGGAACGACGUCGCCACCGAUUACCGACUAAUUACCGACCGACGGAGCGCGUUCAAGCCCGCGCAGCAGCCGGGCGCGCGCGCGCUGGAAAAUAACGAUUCAAUUUCAAAUGAACCAGAUUUGAGGAGAAAAAAAAGAAACAUUUCCGUUUCGUUUAAAGCGCGCCUGCAGUAACAGCUGUUUGUAUAGAUUUAUUGUGCAGGAGUGCAGAAAAACAGCUCGCCGCUUGGGUGCGUGCGUGCGUGCGUGCGUGGCUCCGUCCGUGCCCGCUUGCCUGCCUGCUCGGCGCGCGCGCGUGUGCGUUUCGUUAGGUGGACACGGAGACUGCAUCAGACCGGAGACACACGCCGGGGACAUAACAGAGCGGAGACAUCGAGGCUCCGAUGGUCCUUCCUUCCUCCGGACCUCCCCCCCUCCCUCCCUCCCUCCCUCCCACUGCACGCACGCACACACCCGGUGGAGACAUGUAGUCCCAUGUAGGAGCAGCGAGGAGAAUCUGUAGCCUUCAGCUCCCAUCCUUUUUUUCCCCCAGCAGCAUUGAUCUCACCAUAUCGACAUAAUGUGCGCGCCUCCCCGGGGGCAGAAAUAACCAAACAUGUGGAUACCGACCGAAGAGGAGAAGAUCGCAGUUGUGAUCUGCAACUUCCGGUCAGCAAUAGGCCAGGCGCUGGUGUUGGAGAUCGGGGAAACUGUUCAGAUUUUGGAGAAGAGUGAAGGUUGGUACAGGGGCUUUUCCAGCAAGAAGCCCUCUAUCAAGGGUAUUUUCCCAGUCAGCUG